GUAGGGAAUCUUCGGCAAUGGACGAAAGUCUGACCGAGCAACGCCGCGUGAGUGAAGAAGGUUUUCGGAUCGUAAAACUCUGUUGGUAGAGAAGAACGUUGGUGAGAGUGGAAAGCUCAUCAAGUGACGGUAACUACCCAGAAAGGGACGGCUAACUACGUGCCAGCAGCCGCGGUAAUACGUAGGUCCCGAGCGUUGUCCGGAUUUAUUGGGCGUAAAGCGAGCGCAGGUGGUUUAUUAAGUCUGGUGUAAAAGGCAGUGGCUCAACCAUUGUAUGCAUUGGAAACUGGUAGACUUGAGUGCAGGAGAGGAGAGUGGAAUUCCAUGUGUAGCGGUGAAAUGCGUAGAUAUAUGGAGGAACACCGGUGGCGAAAGCGGCUCUCUGGCCUGUAACUGACACUGAGGCUCGAAAGCGUGGGGAGCAAACAGGAUUAGAUACCCCUGUAGUCC
This 450-nucleotide ribosomal RNA is filed under the name uncultured bacterium. RNAcentral describes it as "partial 16S ribosomal RNA". It matches the Rfam family "Bacterial small subunit ribosomal RNA", at positions 354 to 796 of the family's 1533-position model. The record is from RNAcentral.